RNAcentral lists this ribosomal RNA (3012 nucleotides) under Durio zibethinus. Its description in RNAcentral is "eukaryotic LSU rRNA". The stretch from base 700 to 3012 matches the Rfam family "Eukaryotic large subunit ribosomal RNA". The record is from RNAcentral. Lineage: Eukaryota; Viridiplantae; Streptophyta; Magnoliopsida; Malvales; Malvaceae.
CCAAUAGCCGGAACCCCUAAUACCACAGAUUAGCCUCUCCGAUGAUGCUCUGACGAUGCUCCGGUGAUGGUGCCCCAAGUGAAAAAAAUGCGGCACCAGCACAUGCCCAAGCCCAGUAUUUGCACCAUGGCUCAAACUCUUAGACUGGGAAUGAACUCCGUAUGCUUAGACAUGGAAUGAACUCCGUAUGCCUAAGCCAACCCACGAAACGAGUGUGCGGGCGCUCAGCUGGCCGGAGAGGUAGAAUGCGCAAGCCGGGAAUCGGCCCGAUCCACCUCUGUGUGCUACCGGUCCCGCUACCACAACCCUCAGUCCGACUGUGGCUUAGACAUGGAAUGAACUCCCUAUGCCUAAGCCGACCCACGAAACAGGCGUGCGGGCGUUCAGCCGACCAGAGAGGCAGAAUGCGCAAGCUGGGGAUCAGCCCGAUCCCCCCUGCGUGCUACCGAUCCUGCUGCCGCAACCCUCAAUCCGAUCCGAUCUCAGAUUGUGAAUGAACUCCGUAUGCUUAGAUUGAGGAUGAACUCCGUAUGCCUAAGUCAAUCCAUGAAACGAGCGUACGAGCACUCAACCGGCCAGAGAGGCAGAAUGCGUAAGCUGGGGAUCGGCUCGAUCCCCCCUACGUGCGUUCGAUCCUGCUGCUGGUCCUACUACCGUAACCCUUGGUCCGAUCCGAUCUUAGACUGGGAAUGAACUUCGUAUGCCUAAGUCAACCCAUAAAACGUUCGUGUGGGCGCUCAACCAGCUGGAGAGGUAGAAUGCGCAAGCUAGGGAUCGGCCCCGGUCCCCCCUGCGUGCUGUCAAUCCUGCUGACGCAACCCUCGGUCUGCUAAAUUGGUGAUACAAGAUGAACUAGAAGCCAAGUUAUGGUGCCUAAUUGUGCUCUAACCUAAAACCCAUAAGGGGUGUUGGUCGAUUAAGAUAGCAUGAUGGUGGUCAUAGAAGUCAAAAUCCACUAAGGAAUGUGAAACAUGUCAUCUACUGAAUCAACUAACCCAAAAAAUGGAUGGCGCUUAAGCAUGCUACCUAUACCCAACUAUUAGGGCAAGGGCCAAGCCUCGAUGAGUAGGAUGACAUAACAGUCAUCGCAAAACCUAGGUGUGAACCUAGGUGGAGUGACCAUCGAUGCUGAUCUUGGUGGUAGUAGCCAAUAUUCAAAUGAAAACUUUGAAAGCCAAAGAGGGGAAAGGUUCCAUGUGAAUGGCACUUGCACAUGGGUUAGUCGAUCCUAAGAGACAAGGGAAGCUCGUCUGAUAGCAUGUCUAGCAUGAGUUUUAAAAGCGAUUUAGGUUAAAAUUCCUUAAUCAGGAUGCAGUAGCUAACGACAACAUUAGGGAGUUUGAAGAAGUCGAUAGGGGCCUUAGGGAGAGUUAUCUUUUUUGUUUAAUAGCCUACCUACCCUGGAAAUGGCUUAGUUGGAGGUAGGGUCCAACGACCAAAAGAGCACCACACAUAUUAUGGUGUCAAGUGUUCCCUUGGUGGCUCUUGAAAAUCUAGAGGACCAAGUGCCAUCCAUGCCUAAUCAAACUUAUAACUGCAUCAGGUCUCUAAGGUGAAUAGCUUCUAGUCGAUGGAGCAAUAUAGGCAAAAGAAGUCGUAAAAUAGAUCCAUAACCUUGGGAAAAGGAUUGGCUCUAAGGGUUAGGCACGAGGGUCCCAAUCUUAAACCCAUCAGCUACCAAUACACUAGUCAAUCUACUCUUAUAGUGAGAGCAGGUUGCCAUGCACUGGUUAAAGGAACUAGGAAUUGCUCUCUCGAAGGCUUUUCCUAGGCAAGAGUAGUCAAAUUAGAACUGGUAUAGACAAAGGGAAUCCAACUAUUUAAUUAAAACAAAUCAAUGCAAUGGUUUCUGCAUAUGCUCACAUAAUGUGAUUUCUAUCCAGUGCUCUAAAUGUCAGAGUGAAGAAAUUCAAACAAGCAUGGGUAAACGACAAGUGUAACUAUGACCCCUUUAAUGUAGCCAAAUGCCCCAUCAUCUAAUUAGUGUUUCACAUUAAUGGAUUAAUGAGAUUCCCACUAUCCCUAUCUACUAUCAAUCAAAACCAUAGCCAAGGGAAUAGGCUUGGAAGAAUUAGUGGAGAAAGAAAACCUUGUUGAGCUUGACUAUAGUUUAACUUUGGGAAAUGACUUAAGAGGUGUAAGAUAAAUGGGAGGCCUCGAGUGAAAUUGAAAUACCGCUACUUUUAAUGUUAUUUUACUUAUUCCAUGAAUUAGAGGUGAGGCAUGACCCCUUCUUUUGGACCCAAGGCUAGCCUUGGUCAAUCAAUAUGGGUAGAAGACAUUGUCAAGUGGGGAUUUUGGCUAGGGUAGCACAUCUGUUAAAAGAUAACGUAGGUGUCCCAAGAUGAGCUUAUUAAGAACAAAAAUCUCACAUGGAACAAAAGGAUAAAGGCUCAUUUGAUUCUAAUUUCUAGUAUAAAAAUGAACCAUGAAAGCAUGGAUUAUAGAUCCUUUAGACCUUCAAAAUUUGAAGCUAGAGGUGUCAAAAAAGCUACCAUAAGGAUAACUAGCUUAUGGUAGCCAAGCAUUCAUAACAAUGUUACUUUUUGAUCCUUUGAUGCUAGCUCUUCUUAUCAUUGUGAAGCAGAAUUCACCAAGUGUUGGAUUGUUCACCCACCACUACGGAAUGUGAGCUGGGUUUAGACUAUCAUGAGGUAAGUUAAUUUUACCCUACUAAUGGCAGCAUCAUGAUAGUAAUUCAACCUAGUAUGAGAAGAACCGUUGAUUUACACAAUUAAUCAUUGUGCUUGGUUAAAGAGCUAGUGGCACAAAGCUACCAUGCAUUGGAUUAUUAUUGAAUGACUCUAAGUCAAAAUCCAAGCUAGAAGUGACACAUGUGCCCAUCACUCGAUUUUUGACCUAUCAUAGGGGCACAUGCUAUUCCUUUGUGCGAGCAGUUCCUUUAAACACCAUCAACACAUGUUGGGUUGCACAACAUGCACCCCAUGAUCUAGUGGUAAAUGGGUUCAGGCACAUCUACUAUGCCAAUGCCAUUUUUAUGGCUUUUAAAUU